RNAcentral lists this ribosomal RNA (255 nucleotides) under uncultured bacterium. RNAcentral describes it as "partial 16S ribosomal RNA". It matches the Rfam family "Bacterial small subunit ribosomal RNA", at positions 524 to 776 of the family's 1533-position model. The record is from RNAcentral.
UACGGAGGGUGCAAGCGUUGUCCGGAUUUAUUGGGUUUAAAGGGUGCGUAGGCGGCCCCUGUAAGUCAGUGGUGAAAUACUGCAGCUUAACUGUAGCAUUGCCAUUGAUACUGCAGGGCUUGAGUACAGAUGAGGUAGGCGGAAUUGAUGGUGUAGCGGUGAAAUGCAUAGAUACCAUCAAGAACACCGAUUGCGAAGGCAGCUUACUAGCUGUAACUGACGCUGAGGCAGCGAAAAGCGUGGGGAUCGAACAGG